AACAGCUUCACAUUUUUCUUGUGCUGGGGGCCCCAGGCCUGGAUGCAAUACACCAAAUGGGGCCUCACAAGGGCAAAGUAGAGGGAGACAAUCACUUUCUUCCCUCUACUGGACACCUCUCUUUUGAUGCAGCCCAUGAUACAGCUGUCCCUCCAGGCUGCAAGAGCACAGUUAGCUUAUGUCGUCUGGCAUUCAUCCACCAGAACUCUCAAGUCCUUCUCCACAGCGCUGCUCUCAGGGUGUUCUCGCAGUUUGUACACAUACCUGUGAUUACCCCAACCCAGGUGGAACACCUUGCACUUGGCUUUGUUGAACCUCAUUAGGUUCACGUGGGCCCACUACCUUGUUUCUUUUCCCUGCUACUAGUAGGAAGUGCACUAGCAAAACCUGUGGGAAAGCCAAAGACAUCAUUACUUUUCUUUCUAGUUGCCUCUUCACGCUAUUACUUACUGCUAGAUUCACUAAUUUCUUGGGCAUGUUCAAGUCAAGAAAAAGUUAUCCAGAAACGAGACAAAAAAAAAAAAAAAAAGAGUUAUUUAGAGUUGUGGAAUAAUAUAUAGCUGAAAGAUAAAAAAUACAAAUCAAAGUCUAAGACCCUAAUCAUUUACUACUUGUAAAAGAAAGGAAUACAGUCCUGCCAUGAAGACAAGUCGUUGCUCCAUUCUCCUUGGAGCAACAGGAAUUAGGAAACAGACAAGCUAAACAGGGCUGCCACCUCCCUAUCAAAACCUGUCAAGCCAAAAUACUAUUACUUUUGGGAUGUCAGUGUCUUACAAAACUACUUAGCAUUAAUUGACAACUUCUCCUGCAGCAUAAGAGAUUUAAUUGCAAAGUUAGCACAACCCAUAGUUUGAAGCAGCAGAGCCCGCGUCAAACGUGGCAGCUUUAAAAAUUAUUUAGCCUUGGUGAAGGCAAAAUUCAGAGGACAAAAAGUUCUUCUUGUCAGGGAUGACUAUACACAAGCUUGAUUGAAAGGCUGUCUUGGUCUCUGUUGUCACCAAUAAACAUGACCCACAUUUUGCCACUGCUGUGUUGGGAAAUAUAUUGAGGAUACUGCAGAGAAGGUGCUUUUGGUUAUGACUAACAAUUUGUAAGGACGUUCAAGUACUGCAUUAAAUCUCACAUGUUAAAAUAGUUUCUGCUUCAAAAUACAGGACAAAGUUUGCUGAUGGAACAGAGAAAAAAGACAACAGAUUUUUGGCAUAUGUGAUUAGAUGCUUGUCAGCGAGACUGUUCUCUGAGAUAUUCAUAGUCUGGUUGAAACCUUGCUGUUGCCUCCAUAGUGUGAAGCUGCAAUUGUAUUGAUAUCUCUUUCACUAUAAAGAUGUUUCACUG
Molecule: long non-coding RNA, 1335 nt
Filed under: Gallus gallus (chicken)
Lineage: Eukaryota; Metazoa; Chordata; Aves; Galliformes; Phasianidae
Description: lncRNA (ENSGALG00010000969.1)
Source: RNAcentral